UACGUAGGGAGCGAGCGUUGUUCGGAGUUACUGGGCGUAAAGGGUGUGUAGGCGGUUCUUUAAGUUUGGUGUGAAAUCUCCCGGCUCAACUGGGAGGGUGCGCCGAAUACUGAGGGACUAGAGUACGGGAGAGGAAAGUGGAAUUCCUGGUGUAGCGGUGAAAUGCGUAGAUAUCAGGAGGAACACCGGUGGUGUAGACGGCUUUCUGGACCGUAACUGACGCUGAGACACGAAAGCGUGGGUAGCAAACAGG
Molecule: ribosomal RNA, 253 nt
Filed under: uncultured bacterium
Lineage: Bacteria
Description: partial 16S ribosomal RNA
Rfam family: Bacterial small subunit ribosomal RNA
Source: RNAcentral